GCACAUGCUGUGAGCUCGAUGAGUAGGGCGGGACACGUGGUAUCCUGUCUGAAUAUGGGGGGACCAUCCUCCAAGGCUAAAUACUCCUGACUGACCGAUAGUGAACCAGUACCGUGAGGGAAAGGCGAAAAGAACCCCGGCGAGGGGAGUGAAAAAGAACCUGAAACCGUGUACGUACAAGCAGUGGGAGCACGCUUAGGCGUGUGACUGCGUACCUUUUGUAUAAUGGGUCAGCGACUUAUAUUCUGUAGCAAGGUUAACCGAAUAGGGGAGCCGAAGGGAAACCGAGUCUUAACUGGGCGUUAAGUUGCAGGGUAUAGACCCGAAACCCGGUGAUCUAGCCAUGGGCAGGUUGAAGGUUGGGUAACACUAACUGGAGGACCGAACCGACUAAUGUUGAAAAAUUAGCGGAUGACUUGUGGCUGGGGGUGAAAGGCCAAUCAAACCGGGAGAUAGCUGGUUCUCCCCGAAAGCUAUUUAGGUAGCGCCUCGUGAAUUCAUCUCCGGGGGUAGAGCACUGUUUCGGCAAGGGGGUCAUCCCGAC
RNAcentral lists this ribosomal RNA (544 nucleotides) under Escherichia coli. RNAcentral's name for it is "partial 23S ribosomal RNA". It matches the Rfam family "Bacterial large subunit ribosomal RNA", at positions 390 to 935 of the family's 2925-position model. The record is from RNAcentral. Lineage: Bacteria; Pseudomonadati; Pseudomonadota; Gammaproteobacteria; Enterobacterales; Enterobacteriaceae.